CGCAAGGAUAACGUCCUGCCCCCCCUCCCUUCCCAUCGCCCUCCCCUAACCCCCCGGUCGGUCCCAGCGAGCCGCAACUUCUUGCUCCCGAGCGGGCUCGCUUUUGGCGUGUCAGCCCGCACAAUGCGGGGCUAAUUCCUGCUGCAAAAGGGAAAACAGUUUGGCUCCAUUGUCGGGUUGCCAAGACCGCCUUUUGAGAAAGGGAGCCCGGCUCGCCUCUGAUCAAACUCAAAGGCACCAAAAUGACAUUUUCUCCCAGGACCCUAAUGCACGUUCACACCGUCUCUGGGUGCCUUCAGCCUUUCCCUGCACUCUCCUGCAAUGCUCUAUGUGGCCACACAGAUGAACCCAAAACUUUCACGUAAUCCUCACAGAUUUUGCAUGUUCAAUGGUUUGAAGUUGGAACUGAGCAUCCAGGUAAAGUUCCAGACAUAAAUGCCCACGGAUGAGCCUUGCAGAGCCUUGUGAUGUCUUCUGCCAAAUUUUUGCUUUGUUCUCCUCCACUUCUUUGGCCUAAGUUCUGUCUGGGGCCAUGGCAGCUUCAGAGCUACACCUUGAACGAGCAUCUAGGGUAAAUACACUGCUACAUAAGUCUUCAUCGAGGCACUUUCACCACCCUCACCACUAUGGUGAAGGGUGGAGACCUGCAAGCCAAGGCAAAGGCACAGUCCUCACUUUCAGAACCCAAACUCCCCUGGACUUCACCAAAGAUUUAGGGCCUACCUUUUACAGGUAUGAUGGUGAGAAUGAUGGACAACUUUUCCUGCUUCUGAGGUCAGCGAACCUGUUGAAGAUGGUUAAAAAUGCUGGUGAUUGCUUCUGACGUAGGGGAAAGAGGGAAGGAGUGGACCUGAAGUAUCACAGAAUGCAACACAAGGGACAGGAGUAGAAAGUCACAGUAAUCAGGGAAGAGAGGAAGGCUCCCCACAAAUCAGCCAUGCCACUCAUUGCUGAACGGGGCACCAGCACAGAGCAGGGAUAUUGAGGAGUAAAUCAGGGGCACAGUGAAUUGGCAUCAGUACGCAGACACCUCCAAGGCCCUGAUAGUGCCAGC
Molecule: long non-coding RNA, 1054 nt
Organism: Gallus gallus (chicken)
Lineage: Eukaryota; Metazoa; Chordata; Aves; Galliformes; Phasianidae
Source: Ensembl